Long non-coding RNA from Sapajus apella (tufted capuchin), 1506 nucleotides. RefSeq lists it as uncharacterized. The record is from RefSeq and is a predicted model, not a curated record. Lineage: Eukaryota; Metazoa; Chordata; Mammalia; Primates; Cebidae. The transcript is spliced from 2 exons.
UUUAAUAGAGAUGGGUUUUCACCGUGUUAGCCAGGCUGAUCUCAAACUCCUGACCUCAGGUGAUCCGCCCGUUGCGGCCUCCCAUGGUGUCAACUUGAAAUAGCUUAAGCAAAGAAAGAAAAGGUUUUUAUUGAAGGUCUCAAAUAACCAUGGAAAGGGCAAGGAAGCAACUGAGCCUCAAAACCCAUUGGAAGCAGAAGCUGGAAUGCUAACAAGACUUUCUCUUUUCUCUUCUCCCUGCAUGUUAUUUCAUUCUCAGACAAUCUUCCUGCACAUGGCUGGAUAUGGAGCCACCAGCUACUCCUGCCCUCACAUCUCACGACUGUGCUAAAAAAAAAAAAAAAAUUGAACAUCCUGGCUAAAAUUGCCCACCUCCUCACCCCAAGCUGGAUGCCAGCUGAAGAGUCCCAGGAGAAGGGCAUUUGGCUUAGCCCAGCUCUGCAGAACAUCCAGAGUGCUUCAGUGCAGAGCAAAGCCCCAGCAGUUACAAGUGCCAUCAUCAGAUGGGAGAAAGGAUUUGAUCACUCUGUGUGUGUGUGGAGUGCGAAGGGAUGGGAGGUGAGUCUAUGACAGUUUCCGUACUUUAUCUGACUAUCCAUACACUUCCUCCUCUUCCCUCCUCUUCCUGUUGGGACAUUUUUGUACAUGCCACAUUCCAUAAGAUUCCAAAGGAAAUAUGAGCCCUUUAUGAUUGUCUAAAUCAGAGUCCAAUUGCAGGGCUGGGCUUUCUGUUACAAAUUCAAUCACAGAGUAGAAAUUAACCAUACACUUUAAAAAAUGCAACAUUUCAAACCCAAGUGUGACUCUGCUCACUUCUACAAUCUUGUUGGUCUAUAACUGCAUGCCUGACUCCUACAAAGGCAGAAUUGUAUUGCUGUCUGCUACUCACACACUAGAUUGUUUAAUUCUUUAAAAAAUUUCUGACAGAGAAAUUGAAUAUGUAUAUGACUGUCUGAAGUUUGCACACAUUAGUAAUUUUGAUUGAUUGGUGAUUGAGGGACUCUUUCUCUAUUUUUUGGCUUUGAAAUGCCACAAGUUGGGUGGGGGGGAAUGUCCAUGUCCUUCUUGCUGUUCACAUUUCUCCAUCCUCCCUUCCUCUGCCAGAGAAGGAGCGGGGUGAGGAGAGGGAAACUUAUCCCUCCCAGGCCUGAGCUCUGUAAUUGGAUGGAGACUCAGGAGAUGUCAGGCGAUGAAAAAGAUCCAGGCGGCCUGUGACUAAUCCAGAGCUGGCUGUAAUUUUCAUUCUCUGUGCUUUCUAAUGGGAAUAUAAAGAAAGUUUUGGACUCUGAAGGAGAGGAAAGCAAGAAGAAGUCUUUUUUUAAGGGGGAAAAAAAAGAGCUUUCUUUAUUCACAACCUCAUUGUCCGUUGAGUAAAAUUUAUCACUUUUGUAAAACCUUUUAUUUUCUGGUAGUAAAGUUCAAACCCAGUUGAGAUUAUAUUCCCUCCCAUGUACCCAAGUGUGAUUUCUCUUAACAUCAAUUCCCUUUCUAUCAAAAUUUGAGCGU